CAACCCCAGAAGGCAAGCCUUCUGGGGUUGUAGGACACUCCUUUGGAGUUACAAAGAAACCAUAUAGACGAAGCGGCUUGGAAUGGCCCGCCAUAGAAGGUAAGAGCCCUGUACUUGAAAUGUGGUUUCCUCCGGAGUGUAUCCUGAGUACGGCGGAACACGUGAAAUUCCGUCGGAAUCCGGGAGGACCAUCUCCCAAGGCUAAAUACUCCCUAGUGACCGAUAGUGAACCAGUACCGUGAGGGAAAGGUGAAAAGCACCCCGGAAGGGGAGUGAAAUAGAUCCUGAAACCGU
RNAcentral lists this ribosomal RNA (294 nucleotides) under Terribacillus saccharophilus. RNAcentral describes it as "partial 23S ribosomal RNA". It matches the Rfam family "Bacterial large subunit ribosomal RNA", at positions 269 to 559 of the family's 2925-position model. Lineage: Bacteria; Bacillati; Bacillota; Bacilli; Caryophanales; Bacillaceae. The record is from RNAcentral.